UACGUAGGGUGCAAGCGUUAAUCGGAAUUACUGGGCGUAAAGCGUACGCAGGCGGCUAUGUAAGACAGGCGUGAAAUCCCCGGGCCCAACCUGGGAACUGCGCUUGUGACUGCAUAGCUGGAGUCCGUAAGAGGGGGGUGGAAUUCCACGUGUAGCAGUGAAAUGCGUAGAGAUGUGGAGGAACACCGAUGGCGAAGGCAGCCCCCUGGGAUGAGACUGACGCUCAUGUACGAAAGCGUGGGGAGCAAACAGG
RNAcentral lists this ribosomal RNA (253 nucleotides) under uncultured bacterium. RNAcentral describes it as "partial 16S ribosomal RNA". It matches the Rfam family "Bacterial small subunit ribosomal RNA", at positions 524 to 776 of the family's 1533-position model. The record is from RNAcentral.